This is a non-coding RNA of Camelina sativa (false flax), 1694 nucleotides long. NCBI's taxonomy places the organism in Eukaryota, Viridiplantae, Streptophyta, Magnoliopsida, Brassicales, Brassicaceae. The record is from RefSeq and is a predicted model, not a curated record.
GUUACAAUUUACAAUGUCUCUUUGUCUUAUCUCUAUAUAUGUACAAAAGAAAAAAAGCUAUCAUGAUUUUCAACAUCACCGUGUCCUACCUUGUAUUUUUCUUUUGGUUUCAGCCGAUUGCAUAAUCUGCCAGAGAUACAAAGUUCAAAUACCUCCAUUUCUUUAUAUCUGUCUGGCCAAGAUCUACUCCCCUUCCGCAUCAGCUAUGUUCUAAGAACCUACUGGUAGACUCGUUCUCGGAAUCAAAAACCAACCAUGUGAUGUCGGCUCGUUUCCCCACGGCCUUGGAACUUCUCUUUGCAUUAGAAGAAGAAUCUGAAUUCUUGUCCAUAUACAAUAGUAUAAGGUUUUAUUAAUAGACUUAUCAAUUGUUAUGUGCACUGAAAGCCUAUGUGUUCUCUAGUUGUUUGUGUGUGUGUGUGUUUUUUUUAAAAGUUUUCGUUAGGGUUGAACAUUGGGAUAACGUCCUAUUUCCCCAUCAAAACUAUCUUAUCGUACUAGAUGGAGCCGGAACUUUGACAUCGUCGUAAGUAUCCACAAAACAAGAUCUCUCAACCUAUAUAUCUCCAAAUCUAAAGUUCUCAUUUACUUCUCCAUAUUUUUUGGUUUAAUCGAUUUACAAAUUAAACCGCUAGAAAACCAGUCAAACCAGAUAUAAAACAUAGUUUAAAACCCGAUUGACCUUAUAAACCCGACCCGGUCUAAGAAUUUUUAUAACCCGAUCAGAAAUUCUCAAACCUAAGAACCCUAAAAUCAUCAUUUUCUAAAAUCAUCAUUUUCUAAAAUCAUGAACACCGUCUCUUGCAUUGGGGCAAUAUGUUUCAGGUGGGUGCAUAAACCCAGCCAAUUUCCUACCAAACUCUCGCUUAUCCACCACUGGCGCCAAGAGAAGCCCUCGUGACUUCCACAUUCCAAUUUUAUCUUCAUUUCUGAUCGGAUUUGAUGUGUUCUUGGUUCAGUGAACCAUGAUUCCAAUCACCAGAACUUGAAUAAACCCAACUAAGAGUUUUGGAGCUGCAAUCGUCUAUAAAAAAGGACCACGUGAAUCUCCAUUAUAUACAACAAUUAUGAUUGAUCUUUUAUGUCAAUUUGGUUGAAUUGUUUAUUUGAUUUUUCUUGGAUGCAGUGGAUUUUCUGGGUUGGACGGACCAUUCAUCCGAGCAGCCUUCAUUAGCAUUCAAAAGCAGAAGCUGAUUUUUUUUUUUUGGGUUUUUAGAAGUUCACAGUUGCUUUAUCUUUGUUUGUAUUGAGCUUUGACAUUUUUGAGAUCUGGUCAUAUUUGUUUAAAUGGAUUUUUCUAUUUCUUCUUCUCUCUGGGUUAUUUGAUGUGGAUGAUCUGGUUAAACGUUAAUGAAAAUAUGAUAUAGUGUUCGUUGAGAUGGGGAAAAGAGAUUUAAAAAAUAAAAAAGAAUUGGUGAUUUAAUUAUAUAAACGGGUCGAAAUCAGGUUGAAAUCGGUUUACAACUUUUGUUAGUUGGUUAGACAACCAAUAAACCAAUAAUUAACCAAUUAAACCUGUAUUUAUGGAGAAAUUGAUGAGAAUUAUGGAUUCAAGGAGAUUUAGAAAUAAAAUUUUGGAUUUGGAGAGAUAUAGGAUGAGAGACAUUUGUGCAGAGAUAUUUAAGACGAGGUGAAAGUUCUGGCUUUAUCUAGUAAGAUGUGAUAAUUUUCAUGUGGAACUAGGACGUUUUCCC